GGCAACCCGCUGGGGUUUCCUUCCACACUGUGGAGGCUUUGUUCUUUCACUCUUUGCAAUAAAUCUUGCUGUCGCUCACUCUUUGGGUCCACACUGCUUUUAUGAGCUGUAACACUCACUGCGAAAGUCUGCAGGUUCACUCCUGAAGCCAGCGAGACCACAAACCCACCAGAAGGAAGAAACUCCGAACACAUCCGAACAUCAGAAGGAACAACCUCCAGAUGCGCCACCUUAAGAGCUAUAACACUCACCGCGAGGGUCCGCAGCUUCAUUUUUGAAGUCGGUUCUGGCUUCCUGUCCUGGCCAUCCAAUCUAAUCCACCGCAAACAGACCUCGUUCCCCUUUGUCACUGCAGGCCAGCUCUGAACCGUCUAUUUUCUUUCACUGACAUAGAAAGAUGAGAUGCGUCAGCAUCCUUGCAAACAUGAAAGGCUAGCCGGUGAAGUGCUGAGUGCUGGAAACUUUGACUGGGCAUGAACAGGUAGAGAAACUAGAGAUUCUGUAUCAGAUGAAGUGACUCAGAGGGACAGAAUGGCCAUCGUUGGACAGUUUAAGUGCUUUCAUAAGGAAGAGGAAUCAGGAUUCACUUCAUGUGGUGCAUGGUGCAGAGUCAACGGGAUGAAUGUUUCCAGGAAGCAGAUUUCAGCCCAUGAUAAAGAAGAACUUUCUGGUACAUGGAAGGACUCCACAGUGGAAGGGGCUGACACUACAGAGUGAGCUUCCUAUUACAGGAGAUAUUCAAACCAGAUAGACGUAUCAUUCUCAGGUUCCUAGACUUAGCGUAAAGUAAAAUUAGAUAGCCUAUAAGUUCUAAUACUAUGAUCCUCAAAAAACACUAGUUCUGUAGUUUAGAUCACACCAAGAUUUCAGUUAGACCAUGGAAAAGAAGGAAAUUCGAUCUGGUGUUUUCAAAUCAAUUAUUGGGCAAAGAAUCAAGAUAUCCAGUUUCUGCAGUAGAACUUCGGGGCUUGAGGCUUGAUAUGGUUUGGCUAUGUGUCUCCACCCAAAUCUCAUCUCAAAUUGUAAUCCCCACGUGUUAAGGGAGAGACCUGGCGGGAGGUGAUUGGCUCAUGGGGACAGUUUCCCCCAUGCCGUUCUUGUUAUAGUGAGUAAGUUCUUAAGAAAUCUGAUGGUUUUAUAAGGGGCUCUUCCCACUUUGCUCUCGUUCUCUUUCAUGCCACCUUGAGAAGAAGGUACUUGCUUCUCCUUUGCUUUCCGCCAUGUUUGUAAGUUUCCUGAGGCCUCCACAGCCAAUCAGAACUGUGAGUCAAUUAAACUCCUUUCUUUGGUAAAUUA
Pan troglodytes (chimpanzee) is the source of this 1296-nucleotide long non-coding RNA. RefSeq lists it as uncharacterized. NCBI's taxonomy places the organism in Eukaryota, Metazoa, Chordata, Mammalia, Primates, Hominidae. The record is from RefSeq and is a predicted model, not a curated record. The transcript has 2 exons.